UCGCCUCAGACGGCGCCACGAUGGCGGA
RNAcentral lists this small RNA (28 nucleotides) under Bombyx mori (domestic silkworm). RNAcentral describes it as "ovarian small RNA-28730". Lineage: Eukaryota; Metazoa; Arthropoda; Insecta; Lepidoptera; Bombycidae. The record is from RNAcentral.